Molecule: long non-coding RNA, 267 nt
Filed under: Salvia miltiorrhiza (redroot sage)
Lineage: Eukaryota; Viridiplantae; Streptophyta; Magnoliopsida; Lamiales; Lamiaceae
Description: long non-coding RNA (SMIL_LNC012064)
Source: RNAcentral
UUUGCUUAUGAUAUUGUGCAAGAGUGAUAAAGGAAGUUGCAAACCUUGUGACCGCCGGUCGAUGCAAAUUCCUUUGAUUGGUGAAUCUCCUCAUCAUGUUCACAACGGCGACAUGGUUAUAUAUAUAACCAUUCAUGAAGAUCGCCUUCUUGAGGGCAUUCUUGAUCUUUGGAAGCUUUCCAAUAUCCUCCAACAUCAAGUCCACACAAUGUGCGGCACAUGGAGUCCAAUAAAGAUGUGGUCUUUUGGCCAUAAGCAAUUUCCCUA